RNAcentral lists this ribosomal RNA (497 nucleotides) under uncultured bacterium. RNAcentral describes it as "partial 16S ribosomal RNA". It matches the Rfam family "Bacterial small subunit ribosomal RNA", at positions 28 to 507 of the family's 1533-position model. The record is from RNAcentral.
GACGAACGCUGGCGGCGUGCCUAAUACAUGCAAGUUGAGCGCCGAAGGUUGGUACUUGUACCAACUGGAUGAGCAGCGAACGGGUGAGUAACGCGUGGGGAAUCUGCCUUUGAGCGGGGGACAACAUUUGGAAACGAAUGCUAAUACCGCAUAAAAACUUUAAACACAAGUUUUAAGUGUGAAAGAUGCAAUUGCAUCACUCAAAGAUGAUCCCGCGUUGUAUUAGCUAGUUGGUGAGGUAAAGGCUCACCAAGGCGAUGAUACAUAGCCGACCUGCGAGGGUGAUCGGCCACAUUGGGACUGAGACACGGCCCAAACUCCUACGGGAGGCAGCAGUAGGGAAUCUUCGGCAAUGGACGAAAGUCUGACCGAGCAACGCCGCGUGAGUGAAGAGGGUUGUCGGAUCGUAAAACUCUGUUGGUAGAGAAGAACGUUGGUGAGAGUGGAAAGCUCAUCAAGUGACGGUAACUACCCAGAAAGGGACGGCUAACUACGUG